UAGAGACGGGGUUUCACCAUGUUAAGACAGGAUGGUCUCAAUCUCCUGACCUCGUGAUCCGUCCGCCUCGGCCUCCCAAAGUGCUGGGAUUACAGGCGUGAGCCACUGCACCCGGCCCUAAUUUUGUAUUUUUAGUAGAGAUGGGGGUAUCUCCAUGUUGGUCAGGCUGGUCUCGAACUCCCAACCUCAGGUGAUCUACCUGCCUCGGCUUCCCAAAGUGUUGGCACUACAGGCGUGAGCCACCGAGCCUGGCAUUUUUGUAGAGACAGGUUUCUCCAUGUCACUUACACUGGUCUCAAACUCCUGGAUUCAAGGGAUUCACCCACUGCAGCCUCCCAGAGUGCUGGGAUUACAGGUGUGAGCCACCCCGCCUAGCUAAUUUUCCGGUUUCUUAAUUGCCUUUUUUUUUUUUUUUUUUUUUUGAGACGGAGUUUUGCUCUUGUUGCCCAGUUGCCCAGGCUGGAGUGCAAUGGCACGAUCUCGGCUCACCGCAACCUCCGCCUCCUGGGUUCAAACAAUUCUCCUGCCUCAGCCUCCCGAGUAGCUGGGAUUACAGACAUGCACCACGCCUGGCUAAUUUUGUAUUCUUAAUUGGCUUUUUUAAAAAAAUUAUUGCCGAGAUGGUGGCUCAUGCCUGUAAUCCCAGCACUUUUGGAGGCUGAGGUGGGUGGAUCACGAGGUCGGGAGUUUGAGACCAGCCUGGCCAACAUGGUGAAACCGUCUCUAGUAAAAAUACAAAAAAUUAGCCGGGUGUCGUGGCGCGCGCCUGUAGUCUCAGCUAUUCAGGAAGCUAAGGCAGAAGAAUCACUUGAACCCGGGAGGUGGAGGUUGCAGUGAGCUGAGAGCUGAGAUCGUACCACUGAACUCCAGCUUGGGCAACACAGCGAGAGUCCGUCCCAAAAAGAAAAAGAAAAUUAUUAUUAUUGGCCAGGCAUGGCGGCUUACACCUGUAAUCCCAGCACUGUGGGAGGCUGAAGCGGGUGGAUAACCUGAGGACCAGAGUAGGAGACCAGCCUGGCCAACAUGGUGAAACCCUGUCUCUACUACAAAUACCAAAAAUUAGCCGAGCGUGGUCGCACACACCUGUAACCCCAGCUACUUGGGAUGCUGAGGCAAGAGAAUUACCUGAACCCCGGGAGGUAAAGAUUGCAGUGUUCUGAGAUCACACCAUUGCACUCCAGCCUGGGCAACAGGAGUGUAACUCCAUCUCAAAAUAUAUAUAUAUAUAUUAUUAUUAUUUUGGUAAUUUUUUUAGUAUUAACUUUUUUUUUUUUUGAGAUGGAGUCUCAUUCUGUUGCCCAGGCUGGAGUGCAGUGGCGUGAUCUCAGCUCACUGCAACCUCCGCCUCCUGGGCUCAAGCCAUUCUCCUGCCUCAGCCUCCUAAGUAGCUGGGAUUACAGGUGUGCGUCACCAAGUCCAGCUAAUUUUUGUAUUUUUAGUAGAGAUGGGUUUUCACCAUGUUGGUCAGGCUGGUCUCAAACUCCUGACCUCAUGAUCCGCCUGCCUCAGCCUCCCAAAGUGCUGGGAUUACAGGUGUGAGCCACAGCGCCUAGGCAGUAUUAUCUUUUCUACAAGCUAUUAAUUGCCUUCAGCUCAAAGUAAUUGUUACGUCAAAGAGGCAUGUUUUGUGAUGACAUAUUCUGGUUUCCUUCAACUCACAGCAGCAUUAUUCAUACUAGCCCCAAAGUAGAAAAACUUAAUAGAUGAACUAAUGAGUGGAUAAGCAAAAUGUGGUAUAUCUAUUGUGUUAAAGAAAAGUUUUUUUUUAUCUGUUUGUAGUCAUAAUUGUGAUGGUUGAGUUUUCAUGUGUGAGAUGUGUAUCACUCAAGCCUUUUUACAAUGUCGGUAUAUUGCCGGGUGCGGUGGCUCAUGCCUGUAAUCCCAGCACUUUGGGAGGCCGAGACGUGCGGAACACCUGAGGUUGGGAGUUCGAGACCAGGCUGACCAACAUGGAGAACCCAUAUUUCUACUAAAAAUACAAAAUUAGCCGUGCGUGGUGGUGCAUGCCUGUAAUCCCAGCUACUCGUGAGGCUGAGGCAGAGAAUCACUUGAACCCGGGAGGCGGAGGUUGCAAUGAGCCAAGAUUGCGCCAUUGCACUCCAGCUUGGGCAACAAGAGCAAAUACUCCAUCUCAAAAAAAAAAAAAAAAAAAGUCUGUAUAUUACAUAAAAAAAAAAAAAAAAAAGAGGCCGGGCGCAGUGGCUCAUGCCUGUAAUCCCAACACUUUGAGAGGCCAAGGUGGGCAGAUCACGAGGUCAGGAGUUUGAGACCAGCCUGGCCAAUAUGGUGAAACCCCAUCUCUACUAAAAAUACAAAAAUUAGCCGGGUGUGGUGGCGGGCGCCUGUAGUCCCAGCUACUCAGGAGCCUGAGGCAGGAGAAUCGCUUGAACCCGGGACGUGGAGGUUGCAGUGAGCCGAGAUCACACCACUGCACUCCAGCCUGGGUGACAGAGUGAGACACUAUCUCAAAAAAAAAAAAAAAAAAAUUAAAAGAAAAAGAAGAAAAAUCAGUGACAUUUGUUAAAGCAUGAUAAGGAAGACUUUACUUGGGACCAUUAUGAUUAUGUAUAGGGACCACUACAGUGGGAUUUUACAGUGGGGAACAGAGUUGGCCUAAACUCUGAAUACAACAUGGGCACGGGGGAAUUUAUAGCCAAGGAGCAGUUUAGGGUCAGUGGAUAGAAAAUUACUAAGGGCCAGGCUCACAUCUGUAAUCCUAGCACUUUGGGAGGGUGAGGCAGGAGGAUUGCUUGAGGCUAGAGUUCGUGACCCGCCUAAGCAACAAAGUGAGAUCCCCAUCUCUACAAAAAAAUUAUUGCAAAAAUCAGCCAGGCGUGGUGGCACACGCUUGCAGUCCUAGCCACUUGGGAGGCUGAGGUGGACAGAUUUCUCGAAUCUAGCAGAUCAAGGCCGCAAUGAGCCGUGAUCUUGCCACUGCACUCGAGCACUGCUGCCUGGGUGACAGAGUGAAACUUUGUCUCAAAAAAGAAAAGAAAAGGGCCGGGCGCGGUGGCUCACGCUUGUAAUCCCAGCACUUUGGGAGGCCGAGG
RNAcentral lists this long non-coding RNA (3050 nucleotides) under Homo sapiens (human). RNAcentral's name for it is "HSALNT0163873". The stretch from base 1768 to 1865 matches the Rfam family "Small nucleolar RNA U13". The record is from RNAcentral. Lineage: Eukaryota; Metazoa; Chordata; Mammalia; Primates; Hominidae.